This 342-nucleotide long non-coding RNA is filed under the name Helianthus annuus (common sunflower). RNAcentral's name for it is "hypothetical non coding rna". Lineage: Eukaryota; Viridiplantae; Streptophyta; Magnoliopsida; Asterales; Asteraceae. The record is from RNAcentral.
UUUUAUACUCCAACAUCGAAACAUUCUUUAUCGCCAAAUCUUUAGUCUUUUCCAACCCUUGUACAGUCGAUUCGAGCUUUUCCUGUAAGCUAAGCAUUUUAUCGAGCACCUCGUUGACACGCGCAGUAAGCGACAUUACAUCAAACCCUUCAUAAACAUCCUUAACCCCAUAAAACUGCUUGCAUAUAUCCUCAUUAUGCAUGAAGAUGUUAGAAGAAUCCAGCCGAAUAAAACCUAAAUAAGCUGGAAACACUUACGAUUAUGACUAACACUCCAAGAACAAUCUGCAUCAUACCUAAAAUUCUCCCUAAUCUAAACUUUGGAAAGCAAGAAACCCUCAUU